UUUUUUUGUUGCCACAUGCAAAUCGCUGAUUUUUUUUAAAAAAAUUGCCAUCAGAUUCUGGUAGACCUAUACUUCAUUACAUUCGCUACAGUAUAUGUAAAGUAGUUUACAAGGUCCUAUUACAGAUCUUUUAUUGAAAAUUUGUUUAAAUUUAUUAUCGUUAUAUAUUGACUAUAGCAUUGAAGUUUAAAGAUUUGAGCCUUUCCUAAUAAUCAAGUGGCGCUACAACCCCGUUGGGUCUUUUGAAUUUUUGUUGCAUCUUUCUUUAUAGCCUUCUAUGUCUGGCACAAUUCGGGGUACAUUUUCAGAUUUCUACCAUUACGAUAAAUUUAGGAACGUGUCGAAAAAUCUAUUGAGGCACAGUUGAGACACUUUUGGUCGAUCGUGUUGGACGGAAACCGCUGCUUCUAUUGUCUGCGCUAGGGGUGGGACUAAUGAAUGCCCGACCAACGUCAAGUUGUACGCCUCCUGUGUCGCUCAUAUUUAUACUGGAGUUUCGAUGUUUGCUGUUCAGAAACUCUUCCAAGUAAUAAGAGAUACAUAUGGUAUCUACACAGUUUUCUGGGGCUUCUGUGCGUGCUCAAUCCUCGGGCUGGUGUUCAUUCUAGCCGUGCUACCCGAGACCAAGGGGAAAUCAUUUGCUUGCAUACAGGCUCAGCUGAAAAGAGAAGUCGCCCGCGACAACGCAAGCAAACUUAUGACUGUCGAGUAUUAAUA
This is a long non-coding RNA of Pieris napi, 717 nucleotides long. RefSeq lists it as uncharacterized. Lineage: Eukaryota; Metazoa; Arthropoda; Insecta; Lepidoptera; Pieridae. The transcript is spliced from 2 exons. The record is from RefSeq and is a predicted model, not a curated record.